This is a non-coding RNA of Caenorhabditis elegans, 150 nucleotides long. The record is from Ensembl. NCBI's taxonomy places the organism in Eukaryota, Metazoa, Nematoda, Chromadorea, Rhabditida, Rhabditidae.
CUGUGAAUAGGUAUGUCCGUUAAACAAUAGUGAGUUGAAUAACCUCCUGUGGAUUAGUGUUGGCAUGCCAUCUCGCUCCGCUGGAUGACCUCUCUCAAUCCGGUCAAGAGUGGGACAUGGUCCGUAUGCAAUCGAUCCUCACACAUUGUA